CCAUUAUCCAGCUUCCUAACCUUAAGGAUGAGACCCUAUCAAUAUUGCCUCUGCUUUUGUGCUCAGGGUAGUAGUGCAAUAUUGCUUAUAGGGUCUUUUCUUUUGAGGGUAUUCUUCAUGGAGAGAAGACAGCCACAGCAGGAAAAAUUAAUCCUAUGUGCCCAUCGAGUUAAGGGAAAAGUUGUGAAAUACCAAGCAUUGUUAGAUAGGCAAGUAAUUGUGCAGAGAUGUUAUGUGUGACAAAUAAUCAUGCUAUUGUGGUGACUCAAGUUGUGAGUAAUGGGCAUAUUUUUGAUGCUAUCACACGGGAUUCAAAAUGGCCUUGUGUUUAAGAGGCACAAGCAGUGAUUGAAACCGCAGAAACCCAUCACGUCUCCAUUUUAAAACAGUACAAGUCCCGAGAUGUUUGAAGGGUGCCUAUUUUGCAUAACGAUGUAAACACCCACAAGGAAUGGGAGGAGAUAUAUAGCCACACUCGGCUGUUCCUGUGCCUGAAAAUCAGUGCUGCGCAAAGCAGAGCGUUGCACGAAGUGCCUGAGGCUCUAAUCCCGAUAACGUCCUCUAAACAAAGCUCACGCCUCUGCCUGGCGAACGCGGCCGGGCUCCGCAGCCCGGGCUUGGUGCAGGCAUGGCUGGGCUGGGCAUUGCCCCCAGCCUUUCCCGAGAGCUGCUUAUGGAGGUACGUGGGAAAGGAGCAGGGCCGGAGGCGUUCAAUCUCAAUCUCCUCUCGGCUUUGUGAGAAAUCAGCUGGGGGCUGACAGCAGCCGGGCUGGCGGGGUGGGUGGCCUUGCCUUCCAUUUCAGGUGGUCGCCGCGGUCCCUUUCGGGACCUCUGGGGCCCAGGCAGAGGGGUGGUGGGAGGGGAUUGGGGCCGGCUCAGGGUGCGGCGGAGCGGCCGCAGCCGCGGGGCUUUCAUAGCCGCUCUCCGGGCAGCGCGGGGCCGUGUUCUCUCCGCGGUGGUGGGCGCGGGAGGGCGAGAAGCCCUACAGGACCGCUGCCUCCCGCCUGCUCGCCCGACCCCGGCCCUGCCCUCUACGUAACCCCCCGGGCAUCACUCCGAGGGGAGGCGACCAGCUAAGGGACAAAGCCAGGCAAUCCCCCCCCCACCUCAAAGCCCGGGCUCUCCCUCCGUGCCCCAGUCCGGCGGCCAGGGCCACCGGGCGGGCUGCCCCUCUUUCCCUGUUGCACUACUGUCACGGUCGCAGCGAGCAGUGCAAUAAUGAAAGGGCGUCAGUGCGCCGGGGAGCGGCGAGAGCCGGGCCCAGCCGGUGUAACAGCGGCCGGGGAAGAGACGGGCCGUCCCGCCGGGCCCCCAAGAGCCACUCGAGCGGGGCGGGGGUCGCCGCGCUGCUCGCUCUGUCGGAACGCGCAGUGCUAGGAGAGCAGUCCGGCCUUGGCCAUCCGCGUAAAUAAAGUGCCUUCCCACGUUCCCGUCACUGCCUUUUCUUCCGGGCGGGUUUUCUUGCAGGUCUCCAGCCCCUCCUGCCUCCCCAGCGGCGGCCCCUCGACGGGUUUUUGUCGGGUCGUCCAGCGUGCUAAUAGCCCGCUUGUUCUUUGUGGGAAGUGGGUGAAAAUGGAAGAUGAGUGUCUUCCUUAGCCACGCAGCCUAAAAAACAGGCUCGAAGCAUGUCCCUGUGCCGGGUUGAGCAGCGGGGCUGAGGGGAGAAUUGGGUGAGCUGUUUACAGUAAUGGACAUCAGACUGGUGGUGUGGCUGGGAGCUGUGCUGGGAAGGCCAGGAAAUAGUCCUCUGAUUAUUAGUGGCCAUGGUGAAAUGGAUACUUCUAUAAAAGAAGGCUGGGGAGGGCUAUUUCCUUUAGCAAAGGACCUUUCCACUCUGGCCUUUUGAACCUGCACUUCGGGGCCCUGUUCCUGCUUCAUCAUGAGUUUUUGCAGAGGAAGGAGCUGCUGAGUCAAUCACGGAAAAGGGGAGGUGAAAUGGGGGCUGCUCUUUAGCCAUUUUUCAAUUGGUGAAUGAAACAGGAAAGGACAAAUGCAAGAAGAAAAAAAGAGUGAUUACUUCCACUUUGGUGCAUUACUGAGAAAGAGGGACAUCUCUUUGGCUAAAGACUAUAACAAUAAUGGGAAACCACUGUGCUCCUGAGAUCCAGCACCUUGAAUAAAGGACUUGACUGGGCAAGGAGCUGAUGGCAGAUAAAUAACAAUGAAUUAGGGGGAAAGCCUGCAAACGCUGUUUGGCUAAAAGCAAGAGGAAAUCCACCUCUUAGUUUUCACCUGAUUCCAUCUUUAGACAUGUAUCACCAUCUUCCACCACCUCCAUGACCUCACACAUCUUCACCUUUGCUGAGCUUAGCUGAACCCCAUGGCUGAGGCUGUUGUGAAGCCACUGAGAAGGACUGCCCUGACCAUGCCAAAAUAAAAGGACAAAGUACAUUGUGUGUGCAUGCUUUCAAACAGCACAAGCUUGCUUGGCAAUUCACUCUGGGCAGCCCAUGAGAGGACUCUCACUCAGCCCCAGAGCCCUCUAAGCCCAGAAAAUGGAGUUUAAGUCUUUUUCACUUUCUAGAAAACAUGAUCCUAUGGAUCUGGCCUUUUAAAAUAGUAAUCAGAACAGCAAACAGCGUGCCUGGCUUUGGUUGACAGAUACACAACAGAGGCAAAGAAGGCAAACAGCAGGCUUUUCAGUUAGUUUACACAGGGGGCACUUAAAUACUGUAUGGGUUACAUAAUACCAUUUGGGGGUUGGGGUUUUACACAUACUUCUAUUAAAUAUAUCUGUGACAUUUGUUUUAAAGUGAUCAACAUAAAUCCAGCCACAGCUUUAAGAGGAAAACUCUUGUGAUUAGAUCUAAUAACACCAGGUAGCUCAUAAUAUAUUUACUGGAAACGAAUGCACAAUAGAUUUCUGAGCCCCACCCCCCAACUGUUGGAAAACCUUGCGCUCACUCUCCUUCAGUGGAGGGUGUCACUCUGCCUGUAGAAGGGCUGCCAUAGAUAGUCACUUCCCUGCAAGAAGCAAAGGCUGCUGGUUUUUAGGGCCAUAUCCUGCUACUGGUUCCACAUCCAGCCCUCAAGAUUAAUCCAACACAGACCAAAGACACGAUGUGGUCUGGCAAUUACGACAAAGUGCUAAGCAAGAAGGCAAGGCAUACUUUAAUAGUAAUAAUUUAAAAAAUCCUAGAGCCUUCUUAGCUGAAAUUUAUUAGGGGAAAAAAACAAAAAACAAAAACAAACAAAAACCCCCACCAACCACUGUUCAUUGUUAUCUCCUGAGAAUCCCACUCACAUAGGUUUCCUGAAAGCAUAUUCUCUUCCCAAUAAGCCUUCUAGUAAGCAUCCUGUUGCCAUCCAGAGGGAGUAGCAGGUGGCCAAACUGCUCCGCGGAGGCUUGACAAUGGCAUUAGCCACCCAGCUUUUCAGCUGAAGCCUCUCUCAGUCAGCACACAACUCAUCAGACUCCAUCUAAACCCUUCCUCAGAACAGUGAGCUUCCCCAGCAAGGCCUGGAUCUAGUAGCUCCACAUCCUUACAAAGCACCCACUGCACAGAAGUCAGCAGAUGGGAAGAAGUGUCUCCAACUUUCACAGCUUUAGAACCGUGCUCUUCUCUUUAAUGUGCUGUCACCAGAAGCUCCACGGGCAGAGAUCAGUGCCAUAAGGACCUAGCAGAACAGCAGGUAGGUGACUGAUUGAGAAUGGAAGUUCUUUAUUAGCAAACCAAAACCAUCCGCAUGGCACUGCACAGAAGUAGGUACACUGCGAGAACUCAGUGUCAAACACCAAUUUGGUAGAAAUCCUGCUUGCUUACCUCGGAGGUGGGAGUGCCUUGUAUUGUAAACCUUAGGUCUUUUAAACCUCCUUAGGUCUUGUAAACAUCCUUAGACGCGUGGAAUGAUCAAAUGUCAAUUAUAAUAAUAUAC
Molecule: long non-coding RNA, 3876 nt
Filed under: Gallus gallus (chicken)
Lineage: Eukaryota; Metazoa; Chordata; Aves; Galliformes; Phasianidae
Description: lncRNA (ENSGALG00010026824.1)
Rfam family: mir-454 microRNA precursor family (bases 11-111)
Source: RNAcentral